Long non-coding RNA from Cyprinus carpio carpio, 5534 nucleotides. Lineage: Eukaryota; Metazoa; Chordata; Actinopteri; Cypriniformes; Cyprinidae. The record is from Ensembl.
GUGUUUUGAGUUGAUUAGCUGAUUGGCAUGUCACCAUAUUCUAAUUUGUUGACAGAGUGAAUUGGUGGGUUUUUGUUAAAUGUGAGCCCAAAUCAUCACAAUUAAAAGAACCAAAGACUUAAACUACUUUAUUUAAUACACGAGUUUCAAAAUUUGAGUUGAAUUAUUGAAAUAAAUGAACUUUUCCACGACAUUCUAAUUUAUUGAGAUGCACCUGUAUGCUCCUGAAGGAAACACUAUGCAUUAAAAGCCUCGAGUAAAAACUUUUGAACAGGAUGAAGAUGUCCAAAUUUUUCUUAUUUUGUAUAUAUAUAUAUAUAUAUAUAUAUAUAUAUAUAUAUAUAUAUAUAUAUAUAUAUAUUUUACAUUUAGUACUGCCGUUCGGAAGCAACAGAAGAUACUUGCAUGUUUCCCGAAAAAAAAAAAAAAAAUUAGUAUAAUUUACAUUGAUCUUCAAAUUCAAAAAGAUUUCACCCCCUGGCUUAAUGCAUCGUGUUUCCUUCAGGAGCAUCAGUGAAUGUUUGAACCUUUUUUAAUAGUUUUGUUUGAGUCCCUCAAUUGUCCUCCGUGUGAAAAGAUGGAUCUCAAAAUCAUACAGUCACUGCUGGAAAGGGUUCAAAUCUGCAAAAGAUGCUGGAAAACAGAAAUUUCCGCAGGUCCUGGAGGAUUUUUGUUUUUUCAUCCAGGUAACCAAACACAGUAUUAAGAACCAAGAGUUCACAAACUUUUGAUUAGGGUUAUUUUAAUAAUUUCAGGGGAAAAAAAACUUAGAAUAAAUUUAACCAUAAAAAACUGAGGUUGCUAAAAUUUUUCACAGAUGUUACUGAUUUUGAUAAUGAACAAAAAUUUACCUCUGCAUCCUAACUUAAGAUACUAUCAAAUGUGCAUUUCAAAGAGACAAAAAGUGAUAUUAUUAUUAUUAUUAAUAUUAUCAGGCAAACCCAAACCUGUUUCUUGAUUUGAAACAAUAUCACUUAUUAGAACAUGCAGAAACUAAAAAAAAUAUUUUUUCUAUUUAAAUAUUUAUUUUGUUAAGGAAAAUAAAUGGUCUGGUUUCUACAACUUUUACUUUAGAGCAAAAUUCUGCCUUUAAACCUGACAGAAAUAAAGAUUUUAAAAUUAUUGUGAUAAUUACCAAUAUCGACUGAUAUGAAAAAUUAUAUUGUGAUCAUUUUUUGGCCAUAUCGCCCAGCCCUACUUAUUUUAUAUAUAUAUAUAUAUAUACUUUUUUUAGAUGUAAUUAAAAUAAAUAACUUGAGAUGUUUUUCUGUUGACACUUCACUAAACACAUCCUUCAGAGAACUUUCUGAAUGAAAUAAUAUCCUUCACAAGCUUUCGAUUUGAUUCGAUUCGAUUCAAUUUAAUAUUGAUUAUUUUGGAUAUACAUCAGGUAAAUUUUCUCAAGGGAAAAAGGCUCUCAACUAAUGCUGUAAAACAUACCUGAGAGUCAAUAAUAUUUUUGGAAGGUUAAAAUUAGCUGAUUUGUAUACUUACUAGGGCUGUCAGUCUAAUUAUUUACAUGAGAGUAAAUUAUAACAGAUUUUUAUUUAUUUAUUUAUUUAUUUUUGUGAACUAUCCCUUUAAUGUUUUUAUUAUUAUUAUUAUUAUUAUUAUUAUUAUUAUUAUUAUUAUUAAUAAUAAUUAAAUUAUACUCUAAAUAAGAAACUAAAUCUGCCAGCAGGUGGCAGUAAAUGUCUUUAUGAGUUAUUGAUUUAUUCAAUUCAAAACGAGUGAUUAAUUCAGGAAUGAAGUAAACCACUCUCUUUAUGAAAGGGCUUUGAUUCACUGGUUCACGUUUCGAUCAAAAAGUGGAUUCUGUUGCUCGAAGACGGACAACAAUGUUUACAAGGUAAUAUAUUCUUUGCAAAAUUGAGCAAAAACACAUAUUAUUGGGUUUAAAAUAUAACACAAUAUCAACUUCUUAUUUACUGAACUGUUGUAUAAAAUCACAUUUAAACUUGUGAUAUUCGGGACAAAAUCAUCACUCGUGUAAUAGCUUAGUGCUCUCCCUGCUCGUGUGAUAUCGUAUCAUAUAAAUGUUAGGGGUGCUCCGAUCAGGAUUUUUGAAGCCGAUCGCCGAUCACAGAAAGCACUAUCUGCCGAUAACGAUCACCGAUACAUUUUUAAAGUCUUCUUUUAAUCAUUAUAACUAUUUAUAAUUAUACUCCAAUCAGGAUUUUUGGACAUUUAUUCAGGGCCUGAGUUUCAUUUUUGAAAAUGGGGGAAUUCCCCUCUUAGGUGACUGUUAUGAGAGGGGAAGCACCAGGGACUGUGCUUUCACAGAAACAUCUGCUACUGAUCUGUUCCUGUUUACCACAAACAUCCAUUAUUCAAAUCCAAACACUGUUACUGAAAAUGCUUUUUCAGCAUUGCACAGUACAGUAAUACAAUCUUUCACAGACAUGUUUAAACACAAUAAAUAUAAGCAAUACAUAAUUCAAUGCUUUUUACUUUUGCAUUUACUUCUAGAUUUAUAUAUUAAGUUGCUCAAGCAAUUGGCAAAACAUUUCAACUACUUUUCUAACGUUAUCACAAACUUAUCAUUGACACAAAUAGUCAGCACUACUGCCUUUUCUUUUCCAUUUAAAUCUUUAUUACAAGCAAUCCUGCGGUUCAUAAAGAACUUUGUUUUCCUACCUCCACGAGUGCCAUCUAUUAUUGCCUACUUUAUCUAAAAGUGCUCUUUUCCUUUAAACAUAGCCAAAAAGCCAUAUGUGUUGACUGUGAAACACAGUAGACUUUAAUAAUAUGCAUUUAUGGUGUAAUUACUAAAUUUUCAUGUCCAUCCAAUCCAAACAAUCUCUGCACUGCUGCAAACGCAGCACUCAUGAACGCACUACCAGACUGCAACCGUGUGCAGUGAACGCUUUAAUCCGUUAACAUGAGCGCUUAAAAAACACGCACCACGUAUGCACUGCUAACGGAGUAAUGUGAACCUGGCUUUAUGUGUGCGCUGCAAGUGUGCAUGAGUGCACGGUCUCCAGGAGAGUGCGCGAGCUCUGAAUGGUUAAAAACUGGCAAAAAUGAAAAAGAAAUGCAAUUUAUAAACUUUAGUGAUGAUGGGACACUGCCUCGACUGUGCAAGUGACAAUUCCUGUGUCAACUGUGCAGUGUGCAGCUCGCUUAUAGACAGACGCGAUGUGAGGUGAUUUGAAGUCAUUUGCGUACUUUGAGAGCGUGCGUGCAGUGAUUCACUCACGCUGUUUGUGAAAUUAUGUCUCACACAAGGUUUUCAAAUUACUUUAUAUGUUAUUUCAUGAAGAAAUAUGAAGUUGAGUACCUACAGCAUUAUAAUUAUUUUAUCCAUGCCGGACAGAAACUGAGACAGUGCUGCUGCAUGUCAUGCAAAACCUCUCACGGCAGCGUCAUCAGCUUGAAAUAGUUUUUUUUUUUAGAUCAGCCUUUUGGAGACCGCCGAUCAAUCAUCCCAACAUGAUUAUCGGCCGAUCAAUCAGAGCACCCCUAAUAAAUAUUAGACAAAAACACAAACGGGGCAUUUUUUGCCCCAAUAUCUUGAAUGUUAGGGUAUAACUGCAUUUAUAGAGUGGUCGCCCUGCAUCAUAUUUUGCAAACAGUCAACUGUAUGAAAUAUAAGAUGAUGUACAGGUCUGGGGGCGGGGCCAGUAAAAUUCUAAUGCAUGAAAAUAUUUAAAUUUCGUUAUUUUUCAUAACUAAUUUAUUAAGUUAAUGCAUUAAAUUGACAGCCCUUAUACAAAAACUUAAAAUAUAGUUUUUGUAAUAUUAAAGUUAUAAUACUAACUUUAACUUUUAAUUACAUAAUUACAUUUCUACUCAAAUUCAUUUUUUGAAAUAUAAACAUUUAAAUGGUGGUUGUCACUAAAACGUGACAGAUUUAUUUAAAUUAAAUAUUGUAGAACAGUAAAACAUGAUAAUGAUUUCUUGCUGACUAAUGAAUUCAUGGUCACUGAAUAUGUUUUACUGUGGUAAAUGUGAUUUUACGCGACACAUUGUUUAUAAGCUAUUGUCGUCUUUCCAUGUUUGAAACACUGACUGAGCGAUUACAUGAGACAGGAUACGGAUUUCAGUAAGUUAUACUCUUUCUUUUAACAUAGCUUCGGAUGUUCAUUCAUGUUUAUUUCAUGCUGAAACUGUUAUUAAAGCAGAGAUUAUCAGUUCACGCUGCCGCUUCUGACUGAGGCUUUACAGCGAUCUGUCACUCUAUAUUAAACAGCGCCAAAACGGCAUUGAAUAUUUGAAUAUCGUUAUAAAAUGGACAGAAUUUAAAAAUCUGAGACUUUGUUUCAUAUCAAAAGUAACAAAUCACAAAGCUUAUUGCAAUUUAUUGGAUGGGAGGCACGCUACAUUGUUUUGUUUAUUAUCUGACAGGCUAGGCUCUUGGGAUUUAUGAAUCUAUAUUGUUUCGAGAAAUCUUUUUUUUUUUUUUACCCAGCCCUAGUAAUUAUAGUUACAUUUUAGCGUUUUAUAUAUAUAUGGUUUUAAAGUGGAAAUGAAGCAGUCAGUCAAAUUUACAUUAUUUAGGAAAAUAACUUCCAUUACAAUAAAUAUAUAUAUAACAAACAUGAUUAAUGUAACCAUUUUAAAGAAAAAGAGGUUGUUUUGUUAUAGCUUUUGGAGCAAGGGCGCUGCCAUCUUGCAGUACCACACGCGUGAUGUCACGGGGUUGGUUCACUCCAAUGGCCAGUGAAGUAAUAUAAGCAUUUCUUUACAUUUUGAACACAAGCUUGUUUUGAAAUGGAGGAAGAUGACCUUGAAAGCACUGUUAAGUCCAUAAUAAGCGCAAGUGCCUAUGCAUUUGAGUCGAUACUGUGUGGAUCGGAAACAAUACUUGUUUACGUGGAUACUCCUCAAGACUGUCAUUCUGACGUGCUUUGUGUGCAUUUGCUGAUGAAGGUGCAAAAGAAAGCUCAAUUUGGUAGCCUACACAUGUGCUGUCCAAGCCAAGCUGUGGCUUUGUGUGUGUGUGUGUGUGUGUGUGUGUGUGUGUGUGUGUGUGUGUGUGUGUGUGUGUGUGUGUGUGUGUGUGUGUGUGUGUGUGUGGCGCCGCCGGCGCAAACAGAAAUGGUCUAUCACAACGCCUGAGUAACACAUUUAAAAUCUCUUUCAGAAAAGGUCUAUCACAGCAUAGGUGAUUAAUUAAACACUACGUCCUGUUCACAGCAGGAAAGCUAAUUGUAUUUGCAUGUGAACAUAAAGUAUGAUACAUACAACUGGUGAACCAGUCAAUGUAAUGCAUAUAUAUCUUAAUGGUCUGACAUAACAAUAAAAUGCGACAUGAAUGAUGUUUUAUGAAGCGUUGUUUGUUUACAUAACGUUGCGCCUCGCAAUAUGAAAAUGUUUGGGAUACCACGAUCAAAACUUAGCAUAUAGACAGUUUGAUGUUGAAUAUUCAUCCAAAUUAUGGUGAAAACCAAAUUAUUUGUGUGUUAAAAUAACAUUUGUGUGUUCAAAAUGUAAAGAAAUGCUUAUAUUACUUCACUGGCCAUCGGAGCGAACCAACCCCGUGACGUCACACGCUGUGGUACUGCAAGAGGGGGAGCCCUUGCUGCAAAAGC